RNAcentral lists this ribosomal RNA (450 nucleotides) under uncultured bacterium. RNAcentral's name for it is "partial 16S ribosomal RNA". It matches the Rfam family "Bacterial small subunit ribosomal RNA", at positions 338 to 795 of the family's 1533-position model. The record is from RNAcentral.
CCUACGGGUGGCUGCAGUGGGGAAUUUUGGACAAUGGGGGCAACCCUGAUCCAGCCAUGCCGCGUGAGUGAAGAAGGCCUUCGGGUUGUAAAGCUCUUUCGGCCGGGAAGAAAUCGCUCAAGCUAAUACCUUGGGUGGAUGACGGUACCGGAAGAAGAAGCACCGGCUAACUACGUGCCAGCGGCCGCGGUAAUACGUAGGGGGCGUGCGUUGAUCGGAAUUUGCGGGCGUGAAGCGUGAAGAGGCGUGGGAAAUCCCCGGGCUUAACCUGGGAACUGCGUUUGUGACUGUGGUGCUCGAGUGCGGCAGAGGGGGGUGGAAUUCCACGUGUAGCAGUGAAAUGCGUAGAGAUGUGGAGGAACACCGAUGGCGAAGGCAGCCCCCUGGGUCGACACUGACGCUCAUGCACGAAAGCGUGGGGAGCAAACAGGAUUAGAUACCCGAGUAGUC